This is a non-coding RNA of Parasteatoda tepidariorum (common house spider), 305 nucleotides long. The record is from RefSeq and is a predicted model, not a curated record. Lineage: Eukaryota; Metazoa; Arthropoda; Arachnida; Araneae; Theridiidae.
UCCAUUACUUGAGAUUUUUAAUUACAGAUGCUAGAAAAGAAUUGCAGUACCUUGAAAGACAUAUAGAAGAAUCUGAGAAGCGAUCUGUAUUACAUGCUAAAAAGUGCGAAAAGCUACAGGAAGAAUGUCGGCAGUUGAUGGCAGUUGCAACUCUUUUGAUAACAGCUCUGGAAAAUGCAAUAAAAGGCAAUUUGGUAGACAUGGAUUGUGUUUUAUCGGCUUGUGCCACCCAUCUUCCUGAUCUAGAAAAACUUCGGAGUGAGUCACCAGAGAAAAAAACUUCUGAUGAAAGUAAUCUUGAUGGG